AGUUUGAUCCUGGCUCAGGAUGAACGCUAGCUACAGGCUUAACACAUGCAAGUCGAGGGGCAGCAUUGGAGUAGCAAUACUUCAGAUGGCGACCGGCGCACGGGUGAGUAACACGUAUCCAACCUGCCGCUUACUCGGGGAUAGCCUUUCGAAAGAAAGAUUAAUACCCGAUGGUAUAAAGAGUUCGCAUGUUCUCUUUAUUAAAGAAUUUCGGUAAGCGAUGGGGAUGCGUUCCAUUAGAUUGUUGGCGGGGUAACGGCCCACCAAGUCUACGAUGGAUAGGGGUUCUGAGAGGAAGGUCCCCCACAUUGGAACUGAGACACGGUCCAAACUCCUACGGGAGGCAGCAGUGAGGAAUAUUGGUCAAUGGACGAGAGUCUGAACCAGCCAAGUAGCGUGAAGGAUGACUGCCCUAUGGGUUGUAAACUUCUUUUAUAAGGGAAUAAAGUGAGGGACGUGUCCCUUUUUGUAUGUACCUUAUGAAUAAGGAUCGGCUAACUCCGUGCCAGCAGCCGCGGUAAUACGGAGGAUCCAAGCGUUAUCCGGAUUUAUUGGGUUUAAAGGGAGCGUAGGUUGACAUAUAAGUCAGCUGUGAAAGUUUACGGCUCAACCGUGAAAUUGCAGUUGAUACUGUAUGUCUUGAGUGUACAAGAGGUGGGCGGAAUUCGUGGUGUAGCGGUGAAAUGCUUAGAUAUCACGAAGAACUCCAAUUGCGAAGGCAGCUCACUGGGGUACAACUGACACUGAGGCUCGAAAGUGUGGGUAUCAAACAGGAUUAGAUACCCUGGUAGUCCACACAGUAAACGAUGAAUACUCGCUGUUUGCGAUAUACAGUAAGCGGCCAAGCGAAAGCAUUAAGUAUUCCACCUGGGGAGUACGCCGGCAACGGUGAAACUCAAAGGAAUUGACGGGGGCCCGCACAAGCGGAGGAACAUGUGGUUUAAUUCGAUGAUACGCGAGGAACCUUACCCGGGCUUGAAUUGCAGAGGAACAUAGUUGAAAGAUUAUGGCCGCAAGGUCUCUGUGAAGGUGCUGCAUGGUUGUCGUCAGCUCGUGCCGUGAGGUGUCGGCUUAAGUGCCAUAACGAGCGCAACCCUUAUCAUUAGUUACUAACAGGUCAUGCUGAGGACUCUAGUGAGACUGCCGUCGUAAGAUGUGAGGAAGGUGGAAG
RNAcentral lists this ribosomal RNA (1171 nucleotides) under uncultured Bacteroides sp. Its description in RNAcentral is "bacterial SSU rRNA". It matches the Rfam family "Bacterial small subunit ribosomal RNA", at positions 10 to 1181 of the family's 1533-position model. Lineage: Bacteria; Pseudomonadati; Bacteroidota; Bacteroidia; Bacteroidales; Bacteroidaceae. The record is from RNAcentral.